UACGUAGGGUGCGAGCGUUGUCCGGAAUUAUUGGGCGUAAAGAGCUUGUAGGCGGUUUGUCGCGUCUGCUGUGAAAAUCCGGGGCUCAACCCCGGACUUGCAGUGGGUACGGGCAGACUAGAGUGCGGUAGGGGAGACUGGAAUUCCUGGUGUAGCGGUGAAAUGCGCAGAUAUCAGGAGGAACACCGAUGGCGAAGGCAGGUCUCUGGGCCACUACUGACGCUGAGAAGCGAAAGCAUGGGGAGCGAACAGG
This 253-nucleotide ribosomal RNA is filed under the name uncultured bacterium. RNAcentral describes it as "partial 16S ribosomal RNA". It matches the Rfam family "Bacterial small subunit ribosomal RNA", at positions 524 to 776 of the family's 1533-position model. The record is from RNAcentral.